Molecule: unclassified non-coding RNA, 330 nt
Filed under: soil metagenome
Description: partial contains 5.8S ribosomal RNA, internal transcribed spacer 2, and large subunit ribosomal RNA
Rfam family: 5.8S ribosomal RNA (bases 1-121)
Source: RNAcentral
GAUGAAGAACGCAGCGAAAUGCGAUAAGUAAUGCGAAUUGCAGAAUUUCCGUGAAUCAUCGAAUCUUUGAACGCACAUUGCGCCCUCUGGUAUUCCGGGGGGCAUGCCUGUUCGAGCGUCAUUAUAACCACUCAAGCUCUCGCUUGGUAUUGGAGUUCGCGAUCUCGCGGCUCCUAAAAUCAGUGGCGGUGCCUGUCGGCUCUACGCGUAGUAAUACUCCUCGCGAUUGAGUCCGGUAGGUUUACUUGCCAGCAACCCCCAAUUUUUACAGGUUGACCUCGGAUCAGGUAGGGAUACCCGCUGAACUUAAGCAUAUCAAUAAGCGGAGGA